GGGGCGGCCCAUUAAAGCCAGCUGCAGUUCCAGACGGAGCCAGGCCCCAAUCGGAGCACUGGAAGAAUUUUAAUAAUUAUAUCUCAACAAAGUGUGGGCGCCGCCGCCACCACAUCGAGAGCGUGGAAAUCCAGACAUACCAGAAUCGGUCCCAAAAGUGCUCUCCCUGACUCUCUGCACACACGUUUGAGUUGGAUGGGAUCAGACUUCCAGCAACACCCCCUCCACGAAUUCGUGAGUAAUGCGACGUUGGACCGAUUCGAUCGAUGCAAAUGCUCUGAUCAUGUGUAAUUCCGAACGAGCCGAUCUCCGGUAGAGCGGUUAUCAGUUAACCGCGCCCGCUGGGGUCCAUUGCGUCAUCCGCCCUCUGUUUGUACACAGCGAUCGUGACCGAGGCCGUAAUGAAAUUCGCACACAAAUUGCGCCGCCUGCGAAAAGCACUUUCACUCUCACUCUCGUUGCUGGAACAGAGUCCGCCGUAAAGAUCACUUACAAUUGACCAUGAUGGCGCGUCGGAUGGUCCUCCUGCAGCUGCUGCUGUGCACUCUGGUGCAGGGCCACUACUAUUACGACUACGGAUACUGGGAGAUCAACGAACCACCACCGCUGUGUUCUAAUUAUGAGAUGCUAGUUGUCAACACCCACCAGUGCGUGAGGCGCUGCAACAUCGUGUGCCGGGAGCGGGUCUGUUUCGAGGACGGGCCCUGUCCUUGUGCCGAUCAGUACUUGGCCGGGAAUCCGGACGGAGUGGUCUGUGCCGCCGAGUGUCUGCCCGGAUGUCGUGAAGCCGGUGGCUACUGCGCUGCCCCCGACCUGUGUGUGUGCCGCAAGGACAGGCACUACUACUUCGAUCCGCUGUCCCAAAAGUGCCGUCACAGGGCAGCCCGACUGCUGGACCCCUGUCUCGGGCGCUGCACCCAUGGCAGCUGCUCCUCUGAUGGUCAGUGUAUCUGUGCCCAGGGCUAUGAAUUAAGGGCCAGUCUGAUCCACGGAAAUCAAUGCGUUCCCAUCUGUGAUCACAAUUGCGGACCACAAGCCUACUGCUUCGCUCCCAACUUGUGCGCCUGUCGUCACAAGCACCACCAUUAUACCCGCAAAGGAAUUUGUUCCAGGGAUUAUUGACCUUGGAAAGCCAUCUGCAAUCAAGAGGGGCUGUUUUAGGUCCCGCUUAUGUCCCGGAGGAGUUCCCUGAGGGGAAAAGCGGGAGAGCACUGCCAAGACUUAGAGAACGGAAGAGAGGGCCCCAACUGGUUUUGUUAGCGCCGCUCCCACCAUGCCGCAUUACAAAGCUACUUUGUUAUUGUUUAUAACAGAUCGGACACAUGGAGGGCCCGUCGCUAUUAGUUUGAAUAAAUUAUCCACAUAUAUAUCCGAUCGCCACCAGAUCGUCGGAGAAACAAAAGCUAAUCGAAGAAGCUAAGACAUGCGUACGUGUUCUCCAGAGGCGCCGCCAACGAAUACAAAUAUUUUGAGGGGUCUCAAAAGGGAGCUUGGUUUUAAAGAGGGUGUUUGCUAACAAGGGCCCCUCUUAGUGUUCAGCUGGUUCUUCGAUAAGCCACGAAUUUAAUAGUAUUAAUGUUUGCGGGGCCUAUCAAAAUUGGGGUAUUUCAACUGACCCACACCAGAGGGUAUUUCUUAGAUAAAGCUAGAGCAGAGAAAGACAGCGCCGCCGACGGCGGCAGAGGCGGCAUUUUUAGCUUCGCGCGUGUGGCGUGUUUUUGUUUUAAUUGUUGUUGUUCCAUGGGAGGCGGGCCUCUUGGUGUUGGCAACGUCUCACAUAUAUUUUGUUUUUAAUUCCCUCAAAUUUUAAAUAAUUCACUUAAGAACAUACUUAGAAUAAAUUUUUUGAA
Drosophila rhopaloa is the source of this 1850-nucleotide RNA transcript. It is a transcript of the gene named wnt inhibitory factor 1, with no coding region annotated. Lineage: Eukaryota; Metazoa; Arthropoda; Insecta; Diptera; Drosophilidae. The record is from RefSeq and is a predicted model, not a curated record. The transcript is spliced from 5 exons.